CGAUUCAGAGGGACUGUCGCGGGUCGGGAAAGCCGGCGCGAGGAAAGUCGGGACAGCAUAGAGCACCGUACUUCUUAACAGGAAGGUAUCUGCGAGGAUAACUGCAAGUGCCACAGAAAUAUACCGCCCUGAGCUUGUCGAAGGGUAAGGGUGAAAACGCGAGGUAAAAGCUCACGCAUCGGGUGGUGACAUUCCGAUGAGGUAAACCAUACGGGCUGCAAAACCAUGUAUAGAGACGAUGGCUUCUCAGGAAGCCGGGAGGGUCGCUCGCCCGAGUCUUAGGGUAGGUCGCUUGAGCCAACGGGUGACUGUUGGCCUAGAGAAAUGACAGUCGCCCCGAAAGGGGAACAGAAUCCCGCUUACAACGCUGAACCGCAUC
This 379-nucleotide RNase P RNA is filed under the name Candidatus Limimorpha equi. RNAcentral describes it as "RNase P RNA component class A". It matches the Rfam family "Bacterial RNase P class A". From Rfam's summary of the family: Ribonuclease P (RNase P) is a ubiquitous endoribonuclease, found in archaea, bacteria and eukarya as well as chloroplasts and mitochondria. Its best characterised activity is the generation of mature 5'-ends of tRNAs by cleaving the 5'-leader elements of precursor-tRNAs. Lineage: Bacteria; Pseudomonadati; Bacteroidota; Bacteroidia; Bacteroidales. The record is from RNAcentral.